UUAAAAUAAAAAUUAUGCGCGGCAAAAUUCCCCUCUUCCCUCUCCUUUUCCUUCUCCAAAGGGCACGAUUUUCCUUAUCCAUAAUUCUUUAGUUCAACUCCCGUUUUUCAUCGUCUUCUCUACAUCAAGGCAAAAGUGCAAUCGGGAUAGUAAAGUUCUGGCAUGUUUGACUUAAAAGAGUUGUGCUUGGUUGGAGGAAAAGCUGCAUGGAUGGCCUACCUGAAUUUGGUUGAGGAGAAGAAUAAGAAAGUGAAGGAGUUGUAAGAUAACAUUGCUGCAGUCAAUUUUACCCCACAAAGCAAAAUGGGAAAGAUGUUAAUGGCUAAAUGUAGGACACUGCAGGAGGAAAAUGAAGAGAUCGGAAACCAGGUUAAAGAAGGAAAGGUAGUAAAUGAUUUUCUUGCUGAGCGAAGUGUAUAAAAUAUGCUCUUUCCUAUCUUGUUCUCGUCCCUGCCAAGUACUCUUUCAGUCUUCUUUUUCUUUGAUUGCUAUUACAUUUAGCUUGGUUUUUGGUUGGAUCAGUGCAUUUUACAAUUCAAACAACAAUUUUACAUCCCAAUUCGAAUUGGCUUUUCC
Molecule: long non-coding RNA, 576 nt
Organism: Capsicum annuum
Lineage: Eukaryota; Viridiplantae; Streptophyta; Magnoliopsida; Solanales; Solanaceae
Exons: 3
Source: RefSeq, a predicted model, not a curated record